AGAGAGAGACAUGCGCGCAUAUCAAUAAGCGGAGGAAAAGAAACUAACAAGGAUUCCCUUAGUAACGGCGAGUGAAGCGGGAAGAGCUCAAAUUUGAAAUCUUCAAGGUUUUACCUUGACGAAUUGUAGUUUAAAGAAGUGUUUUCUGCUGAAGUUUUGGUAAAAGUUCUUUGGAAUAGGACAUCAUAGAGGGUGAGAAUCCCGUAUUUGACCAUUAUUUUCAGCUUUGUGAUACACUUUCAAAGAGUCGGAUUGUUUUGGGAAUGCAGUCCGAAAAUGGGUGGUAAAUUUCAUCUAAAGCUAAAUAUUGGCGAGAGACCGAUAGCGAACAAGUACCGUGAGGGAAAGAUGAAAAGAACUUUGAAAAGAGAGUUAAACAGUACGUGAAAUUGUCAAAAGGGAAGUGUUUGACACCAGUGUUGUUUUCUCGAAAAUCAAUUAAAAAUGGCUCGAUUUUGUAUUGCUUGAGACCUUAAAAGCUCACUGUACAUUUUUCGUGUCUUUUUUAAUGCACUUUUCGUUUAACAAGUCAACAUCAGUUUCUUUUGUUGUAAAAGGGUCAUUGGAAGGUGGCUUUCUUUUCGGAGAAAGUGUUUAUAGCCUUUGGCCUCUGCAAUCGGAGAGACUGAGGUCUGCAGCGUAGACUCUUCGGGGUUAGAUACAUUUGUGCUAAGUUAUAGCUUUUUAUAGACAACUUGUUGACUAUAAUUAGUCUUGUAGCUUACUCGCUUAUGCUAUUUUACCUACGCUUAGGAUGUUGAAGAUGUAGCACAUCAU
Molecule: ribosomal RNA, 777 nt
Filed under: uncultured Neocallimastigales
Lineage: Eukaryota; Fungi; Neocallimastigomycota; Neocallimastigomycetes; Neocallimastigales
Description: partial large subunit ribosomal RNA
Rfam family: Eukaryotic large subunit ribosomal RNA
Source: RNAcentral